This is a long non-coding RNA of Bactrocera dorsalis (oriental fruit fly), 529 nucleotides long. RefSeq lists it as uncharacterized. The transcript is spliced from 2 exons. NCBI's taxonomy places the organism in Eukaryota, Metazoa, Arthropoda, Insecta, Diptera, Tephritidae. The record is from RefSeq and is a predicted model, not a curated record.
AAAAAGUAUGGCUAAUUUUUUGUCAAUUACCCGGGAGCCCUUGGAUGUUGCAGCCAUUACAAAUUCAAUAUUUCGUGAAGAUUGUGGUGCUGUUUCCAUAUUCGUAGGAACGGCUAGAAAUUCGUUUGACGGAAAAAUGGUACAUUCGCUUAAAUAUGAAGCAUACGAGACAAUGGCUCUAAAAGAACUUGAAAAAAUUUGUGAUGCAGUGCGCUCUCAUUGGAACGAUGUAGUGAACAUCGCAAUACAUCACCGUCUCGGUUUAGUAGCAACAAAGGAAGCAAGCGUAGUUAUUGCUAUAUAGUCUCCCCAUCGAGAAGACGCAUUAAAGACAGUUUCAUAUUCUAUUGAACAUCUGAAGAAAUCUGUACCUAUUUGGAAAAAAGAACUGUAUGGCGAUGGAGAUUCAAAUUGGAAAUAAAGUAAAGAAUGCCAGUGGGUUAAGUAACUACGUAUUUUAUAAAAUAUGCUAUCAACAGGGCUCGACUCUGGUUACUUUGGUGAGGGGAAUAUGCAAAUACAUAUAAUA